Molecule: ribosomal RNA, 113 nt
Filed under: Microcebus murinus (gray mouse lemur)
Lineage: Eukaryota; Metazoa; Chordata; Mammalia; Primates; Cheirogaleidae
Source: RNAcentral
GUCUACAGCCAUACCACCCUGAAUGUGCUUGAUCUCAUGAAGCUAAGCAGGAUCAGGCCUGGUUAGUACUUGGAUGGGAGGCAGAAAACUGAGAGAGAACAGUGCUAUGGAAG